ACUUUCUCAAUUAGAUAUACCCUAGGCUAGGAAUGAAUGAAUGAUUCUGGUGACCAGUGACCACUGUUGCACUGCGCAUGAGGCUCUGGUCUUCUUGAGUUCUUGUUAUCUCUUGCCGCAUUUUCAGCCAACUCCAACACCUCGGCAGCAAGGUAUUGAAGAAUAGCAGCCAACUCCAAUACGCUGGGCAUAACGACCGUUCUUCAAGAAACGAGCAAUACGACCAACAGAAAACUGAAGACCAACUUUGAUUUAUUUGGUUACAGACUUCUUCCUUGGGCCACCCUUUCUUCCUCCGGCACCUUUGGUUGUCUUAGUAGCAUCCAUUGCUCUAAAUUUCUGUGUGAAUAAAAAGCUUAAAGAGAAGAAGAAGGCAAGAAGCUUUGAGUAUUUUGAUUGAGAUUUGAAUUUGAUAAAUUCAAGAUUUGGAUUUUGUUUAUCUGUUUGCUUUCUGAAAAGUACUUCCUCUAAAGUGUAUGGCUAUGGCCUGUGGCCUUAUGUUUUUAAUGGCUCUAUUUCUCUUUCACGUUUCUGGGUUUUUUAAUUCUUUGCUGUUUAUUUCUGAAGAAGUUUCCAUACUUGUGUUUUUAACAUCUCCAUCUACCUAAAUAGAAGUAUGUUACCCUUGACAUGCCCAGUGAAAUAUGAAGAUGAUUAUCUUCUGUGUCCUUUUAAAUAUGAAUAGUUAGUUCAUCUUAAUGGAUCUUGUUUUCAUAGGAGAAACAUAGUAUAGCAAUUUAGAACAUAGAACUUAUUUAAGCUUCUUUAAUAGCUUCCGUAUUGUAUUUUUUGAUUUUAUUUUACACUUCCAAUUUGUGUCUUAUAAUAUUUGUAAUCUCUUCUAUGUUUAGAUGGAAGAUGAAACAAGUCGAACAACCAAUGUUAGUGUAAGCGCACCUCUGGCUCUUACUGAGUCUCUUAAUUCAACAUCGGAAGUUGAACAACAUUCAGUAACUGUGAAGAGAAAAGCUAUAGAAUCAAGAUUUGCUGCUUGGCCGCAUUAUGAUAAGCUCAUAGAAGAUGGAAUUAAUAAAGCAAAGCGCAAGCAUUGUGGUAAAUGGCAGUUUUCAGUACUGAAACACCAAGAGAAAAGGGCAAACAGAUACCAAAGAAAUACAUGAUUCGCCAUAGUUGCUUUCUUGAUCGAUGAAUCAAGUUUGUCAUUUCUAGAACUCCUCCAGUUUUUACAUGGGCAAAUGACUUGUACAUUAUAGCCAGGUAAGAACCAUUAGAUUUGCUAUGGGAUUUGUCAUUCUCAGUUACUGGUGAUGGCACAAAUGAUGCUCCUGCUCUCAACGAGGCAGAUAUUGGAUUUGCUAUGGGUAUUGCAGGCACAGAGGUUUGUAAAUUGCUCCCGAGUCCUGUCAUAGGUCCAAAAAUUGCCUAAGAGAAGGGAAGCGCCAACGUAAUAUGGAAUGGCUCUUGAAAUGUUUCAAAUAUCAGCACCCUGGCUCAGUUGAAUUCUCAGUUGUAUUCGAUCAAUUGUUUAGUUUGUUAUUAAAAAUCUUCACAUCUUUUAUUGUGCUAUUGUGAAUAUGAUGUACUAACAUAUUUCGUGUGGACUUCAACUUCAAUAUGGUAUUACCGAAUACCGUACCGAAUCGAAUUUUGAUUUACCGAUUA
Long non-coding RNA from Solanum dulcamara, 1623 nucleotides. RefSeq lists it as uncharacterized. Lineage: Eukaryota; Viridiplantae; Streptophyta; Magnoliopsida; Solanales; Solanaceae. The transcript has 3 exons. The record is from RefSeq and is a predicted model, not a curated record.